AUGAAAGGAGGCAAGGCGAUGGGCCCUGAUUGUAUCCCCAUUGAGGUGUGGAAAGGUCUCGGGGACAUAGCGAUAGUAUGGCUAACCAAGCUUUUCAACCUCAUUUUUCGGGCAAACAAGAUGCCAGAAGAAUGGAGACGGAGUAUAUUAGUACCAAUCUUCAAGAACAAGGGGGAUGUUCAGAGUUGUACUAAUUACCGUGGAAUUAAGCUGAUGAGCCAUACAAUGAAGCUAUGGGAGAGAGUCAUUGAGCAUCGCUUAAGAAGAAUGACAAGCGUGACCAAAAAUCAGUUUGGUUUCAUGCCUGGGAGGUCGACCAUGGAAGCCAUUUUCUUGGUACGACAACUUAUGGAGAGAUAUAGGGAGCAUAAGAAGGACUUGCAUAUGGUGUUCAUUGACUUGGAGAAGGCCUAUGAUAAGAUACUGCGGAAUGUCAUGUGGUGGGCCUUGGAGAAACACAAAGUCCCAACAAAGUACAUUACCCUCAUCAAGGACAUGUACAAUAAUGUUGUGACAAGUGUUCGAACAAGUGAUGUCGACACCGAUGACUUCCCGAUUAAGAUAGGACUGCAUCAGGGGUCAGCUUUGAGCCCUUAUCUUUUUGCAUUGGUGAUGGAUGAGGUCACAAGGGGUAUACAAGGAGAUAUCCCAUGGUGUAUGCUCUUUGCGGAUGAUGUGGUGCUAGUUGACGAUAGUCGGACGGGGGUAAAUAGGAAGUUAGAGUUAUGGAGACAGACCUUGGAAUCGAAAGGGUUUAGGCUUAGUAGAACUAAAACCGAGUACAUGAUGUGCGGUUUCAGUACUACUAGCUGUGAGGAGGAGGAGGUUAGCCUUGAUGGCCAGGUGGUACCUCGGAAGGACACCUUUCUGUAUUUGGGGUCAAUGUUGCAGGAGGAGGGGGGUAUUGAUGAAGAUGUGAACCAUCGAAUCAAAGCCGGAUGGAUGAAGUGGCGCCAAGCUUCUGGCAUUCUCUGUGACAAGAGAGUGCCACAAAAGCUAAAAGGCAAGUUCUACAGGACGGCGGUUCGACCCGCAAUGUUGUAUGGCGCGGAGUGUUGGCCGACUAAAAGGCGACAUGUUCAACAGUUAGGUGUGGCGGAGAUGCGUAUGUUGAGAUGGAUGUGUGGCCACACGAGGAAGGAUCGAGUCCGGAAUGAUGAUAUACGAGAUAGAGUUGGGGUAGCACCAAUUGAGGAGAAGCUUGUCCAACAUCGUUUGAGAUGGUUUGGGCAUAUUCAACGCAGGCCUCCAGAAGCUCCAGUGCAUAGCGGACGGCUAAAGCGUGCGGAGAAUGUCAAGAGAGGGCGGGGUCGACCAAUUUUGACAUGGGAGGAGUCCGUUAAGAGAGACCUGAAGGAUUGGAGUAUCGACAAAGAGCUAGCUAUGGACAGGGGUGCGUGGAAGCUUGCUAUCCAUGUGCCAGAGCCAUGA
RNAcentral lists this ribosomal RNA (1431 nucleotides) under Triticum aestivum (bread wheat). RNAcentral's name for it is "partial small subunit ribosomal RNA". Lineage: Eukaryota; Viridiplantae; Streptophyta; Magnoliopsida; Poales; Poaceae. The record is from RNAcentral.